RNAcentral lists this ribosomal RNA (253 nucleotides) under uncultured bacterium. Its description in RNAcentral is "partial 16S ribosomal RNA". It matches the Rfam family "Bacterial small subunit ribosomal RNA", at positions 524 to 776 of the family's 1533-position model. The record is from RNAcentral.
UACGUAGGGUGCAAGCGUUGUCCGGAAUUAUUGGGCGUAAAGGGCUCGUAGGCGGUUUGUCGCGUCUGCUGUGAAAACCUAAGGCUCAACCUUGGGCUUGCAGUGGGUACGGGCAGACUAGAGUGCGGUAGGGGUGACUGGAAUUCCUGGUGUAGCGGUGGAAUGCGCAGAUAUCAGGAGGAACACCGAUGGCGAAGGCAGGUCACUGGGCCGCAACUGACGCUGAGGAGCGAAAGCGUGGGGAGCGAACAGG